RNAcentral lists this microRNA (21 nucleotides) under Asparagus officinalis (garden asparagus). RNAcentral describes it as "aof-miR12177". Lineage: Eukaryota; Viridiplantae; Streptophyta; Magnoliopsida; Asparagales; Asparagaceae. The record is from miRBase by way of RNAcentral.
CCAGAACAGAUGGUACACCUC